Molecule: long non-coding RNA, 385 nt
Filed under: Mustela putorius furo (domestic ferret)
Lineage: Eukaryota; Metazoa; Chordata; Mammalia; Carnivora; Mustelidae
Description: lncRNA (ENSMPUG00000026258.1)
Source: RNAcentral
GUCUGCUGGGUUGUUGGGCUACAUUCUCUUAAGAAGGGUAUCCAUUCUGUCAUGUAGGGAUGAUUGCAAAACGACCUGUACAGCAAUGUAGUGAAUCCAAGGCAUGACCCCUAAAUUACAGGAGUCACAGGUGACAGCAGUUUCAUGGUUGGCACACCCAACAGCAACAAUGUCCUCACCUGCUCUGUGCCACGGGUGCAUCUGGAGUGCCGCAUUUCUUUCUCCUACAAGACUGCUUUCAGUGUCAGUGCUAUCCCAAGGAGAAGUGGAACAAACUUCUAAGCAGUGAAAGAACUCAAUCUUAACUGUUCUGUUACAUGUAUUUUUCUCUGGUUUCCAAAAUGACAAGUGAUGCCAAUGAAUUAGACUAAAAACUAAAACCAUC